Long non-coding RNA from Polypterus senegalus (gray bichir), 1138 nucleotides. RefSeq lists it as uncharacterized. The record is from RefSeq and is a predicted model, not a curated record. Lineage: Eukaryota; Metazoa; Chordata; Cladistia; Polypteriformes; Polypteridae. The transcript is spliced from 8 exons.
AUCAUAUAAACAGUUCAUGGACUACAGAAACUUCAAAUCAAAAGAAAGACAGUCCUUUAGCUGUGGGUCAAAGAGACGACUAAAACAAGAACAGAGACAAGUUCAGAUUAACAAAGGAUUGAUGGUGCCAAAUGGAAGUGAUUUAAAACCUGUAAGAGGGAAAACACUCCCAUUAUUUACAGACCCUCUGGUAGCAGCACCUGAUCUGCUGAAACUAGCUGUCCAGAAAAAGAGAACAUUUAACAGGGACAUGGAUGAAGGGCCAUAUAUACUUUUGUAUCCAGAUUGCUCAGAGGUGGUCAAUGUGCCUGGGACAGAAAGGCCAUUCAUAUUGGCAGAAUAUAAAAAGGAAAUAGGAAAGGCAUAUUGCAGGAUCUCUUUUUUUAUAUGCCUUGAAAAAGACUUCAGAAGAGGUUUUUGAAGACUGCAACCAAAGUACACCCAAACACAAACUAGAAGAUGUAGUAGAUGCAUCCAGACAUUCAUCAACGAUUCAAGCUGGACAGAUAGUAAUAUCUGAUACUGAAGAUACUCUACCUGAAUACAAUGUGACUAAGUCCACUUACUACAGUAAAUAUACAAACCUUUAUGCACCAUGUGUUGAAGAAGAGGAUGAAGAGCCAGUUCCUGUAAAUUUGGGGAAUUUAUCAGACGCAACCAUAGAGGAGGUAAACAUCACAGUACCUGAUAUCAUUGCAAAGCUGUCGCAUCAUAUUGAUCAUGGAAGAGUUAGCCGGUUCAACAUUACAAGGUCAAAUGUCUGGGAUGGAGCAGUCCGAGGCUUCAAGCGUGCAACAUAUUCAGAAACCUGUGAUAUGCUAGUCAGAUUUACUGAUGAUGCUGGUGUUUUUGAGGAUGGAAUUGAUACAGGUGGUCCAAGACGAGAGUUUCUUACUCUACUAAUGAACCAUCUUAAAGACUGACCAAUUUUUGAUGGACCAACAGGACAACGUUACUUAGUCUACAAUGCAAAUGCUCUCAGGGAGGAGGAGUACUUCUUGGCAGGAAAGAUGAUUGCGGUAUCAGUUGUUCAUGGAGGCCCAGGUCCGCAUUUCAUCUCAGAAGAUCUUGUACUGUAUCUUGCAGGCCAGCCUUCAUUCAAAGCAACAGUGAAUGAUGUAACUGAAGAAAAAAUAAA